This 329-nucleotide ribosomal RNA is filed under the name uncultured eukaryote. RNAcentral's name for it is "partial 18S ribosomal RNA". It matches the Rfam family "Eukaryotic small subunit ribosomal RNA", at positions 1469 to 1796 of the family's 1831-position model. The record is from RNAcentral.
ACCCUUAGAUGUCCGGGGCUGCACGCGCGCUACACUGGAGAAAUCAGCAUGCCUUCAUACCUGGCCCGAAAGGGUCGGGUAACCCGCUGAAACUUCUCCGUGAUUGGGAUAGGGAAUUGCAAUUAUUUCCCUUGAACGAGGAAUUCCUAGUAAGCACGGGUCAUAAGCUCGUACUGAUUACGUCCCUGCCCUUUGUACACACCGCCCGUCGCUACUACCGACUGGUAAGAUAUCUAAGGAGCAUGGACGUCGGCAGACGCGGUUCGCGCCGUGUCUGCGGGCAGAAGCGCCCCGCAGAUUUCUUGCUGGAGGAAGUAAAAGUCGUAACA